CUCGGUCCCCUCGGCUCCGGGGGCGCCCGGCUGGGCCCAGCUCCGCGGGCGCGCCCCCGUCACCCCCUCCCAGGCCAGUUCAGGGCAGCGCCAAGGGGCCGCGGGCUCAGGCUGAGGCCUCCUCCUGCCUAGGCGUCUGGCGUCCGUUUGUCUGUCCGAGGCCUCAGCGCAGGUAAAGCGCGGGGCUGGGGGGCGCAGAGCUCCAUUGGGCUGGGAACCAGCGCGUCUCGUGCCCUUGGGGGACCCGCCUGCCCGAGCCGCCUGCUAAGCCUCCCGCUCCCCUCCACGCUGGAGCGCGCGGAGCCCGGUCUGCUCGGAACUCCACUCUGCGGGAGCGGAGGCCGGCGCCAGCCCGGGAAGCCGCGCAGGGGGCGGGAGGCCGAGCGCGAGGCCCUUGGCGCCGGGCCUCCGCGGCCAGGCCGGGCAGCUUACGAUUCUUCAUCAACUCGUAAAAUGAGAUCGCCGCGGAGCUCGAGCCUAUUUGGCGUCUCCGGAGACUAGCAAGACCCUCUGAAAGACACCGCGUCCCCAGGGAUAAUCCCCCGUGUCCGGCAAAGCUGCCCCGCUCGAGCGCGAACCCUGGGACCCAGCGCGGGAGGCAGACCAGCAGCUGGCCGCUGGGCUGUGAACGCCAGGACCGAGCGGAAGCUUCCCGCCCGGCCGCGAUCGGUGCCGCGGCUCUCAGGGAAGUGGCUACGCGCGUCCCUCGGGAAAGCAGGUAAUUCGCCUUUUUCU
This 735-nucleotide long non-coding RNA is filed under the name Homo sapiens (human). Its description in RNAcentral is "non-protein coding GATA2-AS1:13". Lineage: Eukaryota; Metazoa; Chordata; Mammalia; Primates; Hominidae. The record is from RNAcentral.